Punica granatum (pomegranate) is the source of this 5378-nucleotide non-coding RNA. Lineage: Eukaryota; Viridiplantae; Streptophyta; Magnoliopsida; Myrtales; Lythraceae. The record is from RefSeq and is a predicted model, not a curated record.
CAGGAUGACUCAGAAGCAUCAGUCUCUGACUACGAAGUUUUCCUAAGUUUCAGAGGACCAGAUUCUCGGCAGGGCCUCGCCGAUGUCCUCUACAACGACAUGAGAACUGCCGGGAUCCGUGUUUUUAGAGACGACGAUGAGCUUGGCACCGGUGAUGAGAUCCGCAAGAUUCUACCGGCUAUCGAGAACUCCAAGAUAUGCGUACCAAUCUUCUCCAGCACCUUUGCUGCCAGUGCGUGGUGCCUCCGAGAAGUUGAAAGAAUGGUCGAGUUCAAGAAAGAGAUCAUGCCGAUUUUCUACACGGCCACACCAGACGAUGUUAAGCUACGCACGGAAUUAUUCAAGAAGGAACUACGGAAGCACGAGAAGAAGCAUGGAAAAGAGCAAGUGAAGAAGUGGGAGGAGGCUCUCAAAGUGGUCGCCGGAAUCAAAGGGCAAGAAGUGAAGACUACAGGGAGUCUACUUUAAAAAUAUUUAAUAAUUAGCAAGUUCAGGCAAGUUCGCGGCUUUGAGAAGAGCACUUCAUGAGAGAGGAUGUGAAAUAGGCGCUCGUAUGGGGGAAUCCACAGAUGGGAGGAGACUUGGAACGAGGAAGGGGGAAAGGAAAGGUCUGGAUUCGGUGGCAGUUUCCCAUUUGGAAUGAGGCAAAGGGGAGAGAGUGCUCGGGCUUGAUGACUGUUGAUGGGCUUGAAAGGAUGUAUUGGAAGCCGCGUGCGAAAAUGUCUACACAUUUUUAUUAUGGAUUUGCGAAAUUCAGCAUGUUGUUUGUCAACACACUUCUGCGCAAGUUGAAGGUGAAAACAAAAUAUUUGGCUGGCAGCCUAGUUAAAAGAGAUGAUCAUGAAGAGGCUGUAAUGGAACUGUUGGACAUCGACUCAAGUGAUGUACGAAUCAUUGGCAUCCAUGGAAUGGGCGGCAUCGGUAAGACGACUCUUGCCAAGGUCAUCUUCAACCAACUCUCAGCUAGAUUCGACUGUUGCAGCUUCCUUGAGAACAUCCAAGAAUCCUUAAGGCUUUAUGGUCUCGAAUACUUGCAAAAGCAGUUGGUGGAAGAUCUCGAUCCAAAGUUGAAAAACUUUCAAAAGAUCGACACAAUCACAAUUCUCCGAGAAAAAUUUCGUAGGAGGAGGGCUCUCAUUGUCCUUGAUGAUGUUAAUCACAGAAAACAAAUAGAGAUGAUAGUGGGGAUGUUGGGUUGGUUUGGUUCUAGAAGCAGGAUAAUCAUAACGACUAGGGACAAAAGUAUUUUCACCGGAGAAGCUCGUACUCUUGCUAUGCGGGAGAUGGAUCCUGACCAAGCUCUCCAACUCUUCAGUAGACAUGCCUUUGAAGAAGACUCUCCUCCAAGUGACUUCCGAAUUCUUUCAGAGGAAGUUAUCCCUCUUACUGGAAGACUUCCUUUGGCCAUCGAAGUCAUAGGUUCCCUUCUUUGUAACUGUGAGAAGGAGAGAUGGAAAGCGACAAUUGACGAGCUAAAGAAUGUGCCCCCUCAAGAUGUUUUAAAAAAGCUGAAGAUAAGUUUUGAUGCAUUGGAGUAUAACCACAAACAGAUAUUUCUUGACAUAGCCUGCUUUUUCGUCAACAAGGAGGGAUCGAAUGCAAUUCCAAUGUGGGAAGCUUGUAACUUUUACCCUCAUGUUGGAAUUGCGGUCCUUGUUUUCAAGUCUUUGGUGAAAAUUACGGAAAAUAAAUUUCAAAUGCAUGACCUGAUCAAAGCUCUUGGAAGGGAACUUGUUCGCGAGGGAUGCUUUGAUGAUCCUGCCAAGGGUAGCAGGAUAUGGUCAAGCAAAGAAGCAAAGGAGCUAUUGAAGAUAAAGCAGAUAACAUAUGAAAAAGAAAAAGUUCAAGGGCUCUUUCUGGAGAAAUUAUAUGGGGACGGCAUUCUCAAACAUGAGCAGUUUUCAGGUUAUCAAAAUCUAAGAUUACUGAAAUUGGUGGGUGCAAAGCUGACAGGUGACUUUGAGAAUCUCCUUCCAAAGUUAAAGUGGUUCACGUGGCAACGAUGUCCUUCCGAUUUCGUUGCGACCAAUCUAACAUUGGAGAAUUUAGUGGUUCUUGACCUUUCCGACAGUUUUAUCACUGAAAACUGGGCUGGUUGGAACAUGAUUGAGAUAGCAAAGAAUUUGAAGGCCUUAGACCUCACUGGGUGCUGUAACUUGACAAGUACACCUGACUUGUCCAACAAUGACGCUUUAGAGAAAUUGAUUCUCAGAGGAUGCCGUAAUUUAGCUGAAAUACACGGCUCCAUCAAUAAGCUGACAAGACUGAAGCAUCUUGAUCUUCAAGGCUGUCCUUCUCUGAGAGGAUUGCCCGAAGAGAUAGGUUCGCUGGAAGAUUUGGAAAAAAUUUUGGUGGACGGGAAUCAUGGAGCUACUUUCCACUUACCAGAAUCAAUUGGUAAUUUACACUCUCUAUCUGUCAUGAAAUUACAUCGGGUGGAAAUUACGAGAAUUCCCAACUCUAUUGGAGGAUUGGUGAAUCUCACGCACCUCUCUAUGCGCGAUUGUAGUGGCCUGAAGACACUUCCAGAUGUAAUCGGAGAUUUGAAAUCACUAGUUAAGUUAGACAUGUCUGGUACAGAGUUGAGUGCAUUGCCUGACUCUCUUGGGGAUUUGGAAUCAUUAGUUGAGUUAGAGCUGUCCAACACAGAGUUAAGUGCGUUGCCUGACUCUGUUGGACGACUAAGUAAACUCCAGCGGUUGCAGUUAUAUUCUACGAAGAUGGAGGAGCUUCCUGACUCUCUUGGGGAUUUGGAAUCAUUAGUUAAUUUAGAACUGUCCAACACUGAGUUAAGUGCGUUGCCUGACUCUGUUGGACGACUAAGUAAACUCCAGUGGUUGGGGUUAGAUUCAACGAAGAUAGAGGAGCUUCCGGACUCUCUUGGUGAUUUGGAAUCAUUGGUUAGUUUACAGCUGUCCAGCACAAAUUUAAGUGCGUUGCCUGACUCUGUUGGACGACUAAGUAAACUCCAGCGGUUGCGGUUAUAUUCAAUGAAGAUAGAGGAGCUUCCGGACUCUCUUUGGGAUUUGGAAUCAUUGGUUAGUUUACAGCUGUUCAGCACAAAUUUAAGUGCGUUGCCUGACUCUGUUGGACGACUAAGUAAACUCCAGCGGUUGCAGUUAUAUUCAACGAAGAUGGAGGAGCUUCCUGACUCUCUUUGGGAUUUGGAAUCAUUAGUUGAGUUAGAGCUGUCCAACACAGAGUUAAGUGCGUUGCCUGACUCCGUUGGACGACUAAGUAAACUCGAGCGGUUGCGGUUAGAUUCAACGAAAAUAGAGGAGCUUCCUGACUCUCUUUGGGAUUUGGAAUCAUUGAUUGACUUAAAUCUGGACAACACAGAGUUAAGUGCGUUGCCUGACUCCGUUGGAAGACUAAGUAAACUCCAGUCGUUGCGGUUGAAUUCAACGAAGAUAGAGGAGCUUCCUGACUCUCUUGGGGAUUUGGAAUCAUUGGUUGCGUUACAGCUGUCCAACACAAAUUUAAGGGCGUUGCCUGACUCUGUUGGAAGACUAAGUAAACUCUGGUGGUUGCGGUUGAGUUCAACGAAGAUAGAGGAGCUUCCUGACUCUCUUUGGGAUUUGGAAUCAUUAGUUGAGUUAGAGCUGUCCAACACAAAUUUAAGUGCGUUGCCUGACUCCGUUGGACGACUAAGUAAACUCCAGUCGUUGCGGUUGAGUUCAACGAAGAUAGAGGAGCUUCCUGACUCUCUUGGGGAUUUGGAAUCAUUAGUUUCGUUAGUCCUGUCCAACACAAAUUUAAGUGCGUUGCCUGACUCCGUUGGACGACUAAGUAAACUCCAGUCGUUGCGGUUGAGUUCAACGAAGAUAGAGGAGCUUCCUGACUCUCUUUGGGAUUUGGAAUCGUUGGAAACAUUGGAUCUGAGUUCAUCCAAAUUGAGGAUUCUACCCGAUUCUGUGGGAGAGAUGUCUGAAUUAAGGCAAUUGUCGCUGGAUGGAUGCAACAUAAGAAAGUUGCCUAGUUCUAUCGGGAAGUUAGCAAAGCUAAGAGAUGCGUGUGGGGACGUUUCUAUGGAUUAGAAGUUGAGGAAAAAAUCCAGAGAGAGAGCGAAGAUUCAGAACCGCAGCAAUGGCGGGGUUGCAGAGAUCUGCAGUGUCUUUCAGGAGGCAGGGCUCCUUACUCCUCAGGCCUUGUGUGGGACGACAGGUUCCUCUCGGGGAAGCUCAACCAAGUGAACAAUGAAGCUGGCAACGAGGCCAACAAGCCGAAAGAUCCCGACGGCAGGCAAGAACCGCCCCGUGAUUCCGAGAAGCUGUCAAGGACUGCCUGCAAUCCUCUUCCCUCGAUUGAGACGGCGGCCCUGGAGAGGAACCACAACCACAACCGCACUUGACGACCUCUUCUCCCAGAGCACGGAUUGAGUUCUUUGCCCGAGGAAGUUUCCUUAACCAAUAAAUCAUCAUGAGAGAGGAAAAGAUGCAGGGUGCGAAGGAGAUGCAGGAUGCGGAGGAGAUGCAGGAAGCAGAGGAGAUGCCAGAACAUUGGAAGGAGAUUUACCGUGAAACGUACGAAUGGCAAUUGGAAAGUCUCGAUAAUGAGCACAAAGUUUAUCUCUCAGAGCCAUUUCCAUAAAUUGUCGUGUUACUCAUAAGAUCGGUAUACACUCGUCCGUUUCUUUUCUUUUAACUGGCUGAGUUACUUGUAGAUGUACCUUUGCACCCGAUUUGAUGAUUCUCGAGUAGUGCUGGACCGAGAAGUUCUCAACAGAGUCGGUUUCGAGAUCAGCAUGCAAGCGCUCUGCAGUAAACUUCUUGAUCACUAUCAAUCAUGUGAAAACUCAUCAUUUGCUAAGCCUUUCAGAAGAAACAGGAAUUUGUGGACAGGAUGGCGAAUUUCAAACUCUAGUUCUUUUUCUUACAUAGGCGACGAAAAAGUCGAAUAACAUCUGAUUUCAUGCUGUUCUUCUAUUUCAUUUUUCAAUUGUUACAAACUUUGGUACUUCUUCUACAAUAUCACGAACUGACAUCAGCUCUUGUGUUCAGUUGUAAUGCUGUACCGUUUUGGACUCCUAUGACGUGGCCGUGGCAUCCCAUAGAUCAUGUGCAAAUGACUUUCUAUCUUCUCCGAUUGUUCGUUCGUUGGGCAAGUUCACCGAGCCAUGUUCAAUGCAGGACCCGCCCUUUCUCGAAUUCUUUGCCAAUCGAUGAAUGAACUCAGAGAUUGCACCUUAAACUUACUCAAAUGCGUCACCUCUUAUGAACCUUAUGGUGAGUGAUAGUGCGCAUAUCUUCGCAUUGCAGCACAUUACGUUUUCUCUUUUGGGCAAAAAAAUGAGUUCUGACUUAUGUAAUUUCUUGAAUAUGGGUCUCUGUUGAACUUGGUAUUUUAUGAUCAAAAGAGAAUCCCUGUAUUGGCUAUUA